RNAcentral lists this non-coding RNA (184 nucleotides) under Caryophanon latum. Its description in RNAcentral is "6S RNA". It matches the Rfam family "6S / SsrS RNA". From Rfam's summary of the family: E. coli 6S RNA was the first non coding RNA to be sequenced, but its function was unknown until recently. The record is from RNAcentral. Lineage: Bacteria; Bacillati; Bacillota; Bacilli; Caryophanales; Caryophanaceae.
AACACACUUACUUAUACACCAAACUCUCGUGUAUUAUUUGACCGAACAUUUGGACAUAGGGAGUCUAACAUUUGUGCUGAUAGCGAGCAUGCCCCAUUGGAGCGGGAAGUUUAAUAUCGCCGUGCGGACACCCACCUGCUAGCGAGCGGGUUCAAAAUUAGCGAGGGGUAAGUAAGCUGUGGUU